RNAcentral lists this non-coding RNA (24 nucleotides) under Drosophila melanogaster (fruit fly). Lineage: Eukaryota; Metazoa; Arthropoda; Insecta; Diptera; Drosophilidae. The record is from RNAcentral.
UAACUGGAAUAGUUUUGACCGUUG